UACGCUGGCGGCACGCCUUAUACAUGCAAGUCGAACGAAGUAGCAAUACUUAGUGGCAGACGGGUGAGUAACAUGUAGGUAUCUUCCCUUUGGUGAGGAAUAACACGAGGAAACUUGUGCUAAUACCUCAUAAGUCUUUACGGAGAAAGCUUUAUGCGCCGAAGGAUGAGCCUGCACUUGAUUAGUUUGUUGGUGGGGUAAUGGCCUACCAAGACUUUGAUCUAUAGCUGAUCUGAGAGGAUGAUCAGCCACAUUGGGACUGAGACACGGCCCAAACUCCUACGGGAGGCAGCAGUAGGGAAUAUUGCACAAUGGAGGAAACUCUGAUGCAGCGAUGCCGCGUGAGUGAAGAAGGCCUUUGGGUUGUAAAGCUCUUUCGUCGGGGAAGAAAAUGACUGUACCCGAAUAAGAAGGUCCGG
This 419-nucleotide ribosomal RNA is filed under the name uncultured bacterium. RNAcentral describes it as "bacterial SSU rRNA". It matches the Rfam family "Bacterial small subunit ribosomal RNA", at positions 33 to 496 of the family's 1533-position model. The record is from RNAcentral.